Non-coding RNA from Triticum aestivum (bread wheat), 115 nucleotides. NCBI's taxonomy places the organism in Eukaryota, Viridiplantae, Streptophyta, Magnoliopsida, Poales, Poaceae. The record is from Rfam.
GAUAUACUCCCUCCAUUCCAAAUUACUCGUCAAAGAAAUAAGUGUAUCUAGAACUAAAAUACAUCUAGAUAUAUCUAUAUCUGCGACAAGUAAUUUGGAACGGAGGGAGUACUAU